AAUCCCGCUACCCUACUGCCUGAGACUGACGACUGUUCACCUACUCAAUCACUAUGCUGACAUUCUGGCAGAAGAAACUGGUACUAGAAAUGAUCUGAAGGAUCAGGUUUGGCCUGGGAGUUCGAGCUGGUACAUGGAUGGCAGUAACUUCCUGGUUGAAGCCUUUGUUCUCUAGGCUCAAGGCACUCGAGUGGGUGAGACAGCUAUCGUAGAAGCAGCUCCAGAAUGCCUACUCAAGAGAAGACCUGCAAGCCCCACAUCUCUUCCAAGUUAGAGAUUUGGUCUACAUUAGAUGCCGACACACAGAAAACCUUGAGACUCUAUGGAAAGGCCCUGCUCAUGUACUCUUGAACACCCUAAUUUCUACCCUAUGUGACCCCUUUUUGAUUUUCCUUCUGCUUUUAAUUAUAGGUCCGUGUGUGUUAAAUAGGCAACUUGCCAUUAUUAGAAGAUGAAUUAGUGCAGUGUGGCUUUUAGUUUUGAGACAACAGUACCAUGCCCUAAAGGAUCAAGUGUGUCAGGGAGAAGAUAGUGUCUAGUUCUAAGAUUAGAAUUACUAACAAGUAGAAGUGGGGAAUGAAAAAGUAUAAUGUAAAAGCAAAAUUCUAGGCCUUUAGGCCCAGGCUUGAGAAUGUGACCUCUGUGACUCAGAGCUCCAAGGUAUGCUAAUCAUAAAACAGAUGGCGACAUUCCUCCACCCACCUGCUUCCUGGGUUCAAGGAGUGUUCAUUCAAAGUCACCCUGACCCACCCUGGCCAUUGCUGGAACCCACUAUGCAAAUGUGCUAUUGUUAGGGGCUCUUAGAAACUGUCUUGAGAAAUAACCCACACAAUUACCAGGUAUUCCUUGUGACUCUUGUGACUUUGCACUUCCUUGUGACUCUUAACUGGUAUUUUUGGUAUUUUCCGACAACGCCCUUCCCACCCCCUUGAGUUGUGGUUUCUUCCUUUAAAUACCCCCUUACCCAGCUACUCAGGGCGCCACAGUCCUCUACCCCUGCGUGGUGUAUGACUGUGGGCCCGAGAGCACUCUUAAAAUAAAAGUUCUCUUGCAGUUUGC
This 1059-nucleotide long non-coding RNA is filed under the name Mus musculus (house mouse). Its description in RNAcentral is "predicted gene, 37867". The record is from RNAcentral. Lineage: Eukaryota; Metazoa; Chordata; Mammalia; Rodentia; Muridae.